CCCCCCCCCCCCGCCUCCCCAAACUCACCUCAGUUGCCAACAGCCUCCUGGUGCCUGUUGGACCAUCCCUUGCUGGUUCUUCAUUUCCUGUGGGCCUAGUUUCCAGGGGCUGAGUGACCAGGGUCUUAAAACAGGUUUAAGGCUUGGCUUGCUGGCCCUGGAGAUCCCGUCGCCGUCUUCGUCGAACUCGAAAUCCUAGCCAUCGUCCUUCCCUGGCCUGUCGCGUCUUCCUGUGCCAUUUGCUGUUGUGCUCAGGUUCCACGAGCUGCCCAUCUCCACAGAAGAGCAGCUGGCAUUGCCCACCGGCCAUGCCGGCUGAAGAAAAGAAGACUGAGGACCCCAGGAUGCCCAGCGCGAGGACCCCAGGAAGCCCAGCGCGAGGACUCCACCCACGACGCCCAGCGCGAGGACUUCACGCACAACACGUUGCAACCCUCCUGGAUUAGGCCAAAGCCAUCAUCUGGAAUCCUGCGUGGGACCCUGGACACACGGACACAGACACCUGCCCCCAGGACCCUCCAACUGUAAAUCGAUUGGAAGCGCCCUUGUGAGCUGGGGCCUUCAAAGGGCUGAGGAGAAAAUGCAGGCCGAGAGACCAGCUUCUCAAAUAGGCUUCAAGCCUCCAUGACCUGAGCUCACCCCCUGGAAAUGUCUGGAAAACAUAAUGGGCAGGUUUUCUGUCUUCAAAGUUUCCA
RNAcentral lists this long non-coding RNA (695 nucleotides) under Mus musculus (house mouse). RNAcentral's name for it is "maternally expressed 3". Lineage: Eukaryota; Metazoa; Chordata; Mammalia; Rodentia; Muridae. The record is from RNAcentral.